AAACAAAAGAUAAUGCGCUCGGAGCGAAACGCUAUUCAAUUACUUCACCUAUGAAAUGUCCCCACCGCCAUGCCGGAUUUCACCACUGGCGAUGGCGGAUAGCCUAACCCUUGAAUCUUUAUAUCAGAAUACUCGCCACCCCUCCCUCUAUGUCAAUCUAAUACUAAUUUCCUCCAGUUUCUUUCCCUAAGCCCAAAUCGAAGGGUAACUCAAAUUAAACCUAAAUUUCUAGAUCCACAAAUCAACUGAUGUGGUAAGGGAAUUGAAACCUAUGAGGAUAUGGCUUUAAAUCUUGCAGCACGAAACUACACUAUGUUGGCGAUCAAAGAAAUAACAAAAGAUUGUUUACCUGUCGGAGUAGCUUCGACGAUGCUUCAGAAGCGAUGUUGUUAAAGAAGUCCAGAUAUUUUACUUCUUAGGUUCGCGAGGAGUUGUUGAGAUUUCGAAUGACUUCUUGGUUGCUAAUGAGAGAGACUUGAAGAAUCAAUCCCGACACUGCAGUGAAGAUCUUCAAGGCUCCAAUUCUGAGUUUCUCUGGUGAAAACUAAAGAUUCAAUUUUGGGGAGUGAAGUUUGAAGAAUCCCCCAGGUUGAAGAAGAUGACGAGGAGAAAGUUUGAAAAUGUAGAGUGAAGGGUGUGAAGAACUUGGAGAUUUUAGUUAUGAGUUUGUUGAAAAAUGAAUCAAAAAAAAAAUCUCCUGAGAAUGAGCAAGGCAAGUCUUGUUUAUAGAUUUCCUCAUUCCCCAAAUUCUGUUAGAAAUGCAGGUUAAAUAUAGAUGAAAUUUUUAUUAGAAUCGUGUGAAAUGCCAAAGUUAGUUAGGAAUGAAUAUUUAUGUUAUAAGGUUAGUUAGAGUCAUAAGCAUCAGUUCAUACUUGGGUUCAAAA
Lathyrus oleraceus (garden pea) is the source of this 884-nucleotide long non-coding RNA. RefSeq lists it as uncharacterized. Lineage: Eukaryota; Viridiplantae; Streptophyta; Magnoliopsida; Fabales; Fabaceae. The transcript has 2 exons. The record is from RefSeq and is a predicted model, not a curated record.